GAUGAAGGACGUAGCGAAAUGCGAUAAGUAAUGUGAAUUGCAGAAUUCAGUGAAUCAUCGAAUCUUUGAACGCACAUUGCGCCCGCCAGUAUUCUGGCGGGCAUGCCUGUUCGAGCGUCAUUACAACCCUCAGGCCCCCGGGCCUGGCGUUGGGGAUCGGCAGAAGCCCCCUGUGGGCACACGCCGUCCCUCAAAUACAGUGGCGGUCCCGCCGCAGCUUCCAUUGCGUAGUAGCUAACACCUCGCAACUGGAGAGCGGCGCGGCCAUGCCGUAAAACACCCAACUUCUGAUGUUGACCUCGAAUCAGGUAGGAAUACCCGCUGAACUUAAGCAUAUCAAUAAGCGGAGGA
RNAcentral lists this unclassified non-coding RNA (351 nucleotides) under soil metagenome. RNAcentral's name for it is "partial contains 5.8S ribosomal RNA, internal transcribed spacer 2, and large subunit ribosomal RNA". The stretch from base 1 to 120 matches the Rfam family "5.8S ribosomal RNA", at positions 35 to 154 of the family's 154-position model. The record is from RNAcentral.